UGGGGAAUAUUGGACAAUGGGCGCAAGCCUGAUCCAGCCAUGCCGCGUGAGUGAUGAAGGCCUUAGGGUUGUAAAGCUCUUUCACCGAUGAAGAUAAUGACGGUAGUCGGAGAAGAAGCCCCGGCUAACUUCGUGCCAGCAGCCGCGGUAAUACGAAGGGGGCUAGCGUUGUUCGGAAUUACUGGGCGUAAAGCGCACGUAGGCGGAUAUUUAAGUCAGGGGUGAAAUCCCGCAGCUCAACUGCGGAACUGCCUUUGAUACUGGGUAUCUUGAGUAUGGAAGAGGUUAGUGGAAUUGCGAGUGUAGAGGUGAAAUUCGUAGAUAUUCGCAGGAACACCAGUGGCGAAGGCGGCUAACUGGUCCAUAACUGACGCUGAGGUGCGAAAGCGUGGGGAGCAAACAG
RNAcentral lists this ribosomal RNA (403 nucleotides) under uncultured bacterium. RNAcentral describes it as "bacterial SSU rRNA". It matches the Rfam family "Bacterial small subunit ribosomal RNA", at positions 355 to 775 of the family's 1533-position model. The record is from RNAcentral.